This 460-nucleotide ribosomal RNA is filed under the name uncultured bacterium. RNAcentral describes it as "partial 16S ribosomal RNA". It matches the Rfam family "Bacterial small subunit ribosomal RNA", at positions 338 to 795 of the family's 1533-position model. The record is from RNAcentral.
CCUACGGGUGGCAGCAGUGAGGAAUAUUGGUCAAUGGGCGGAAGCCUGAACCAGCCAAGUAGCGUGCAGGAUGACGGCCCUACGGGUUGUAAACUGCUUUUAUACGGGAAUAACGCGCCUUACGUGUAGGGCUUUGUAUGUACCGUAUGAAUAAGGACCGGCUAAUUCCGUGACAGCAGCCGCGGUAAUACGGAAGGUCCGUGCGUUAUCCGGAUUUAUUGGGUUUAAAGGGAGCGUAGGCCGCAUGUCAAGCGUGCUGUGAAAUGUCCGGGCUCAACCCGGGCCUUGCAGUGCAAACUGGCGUGCUUGAGUCCGCGGAAGGCAGGCGGAAUUCGUCGUGUAGCGGUGAAAUGCUUAGAUAUGACGAAGAACCCCGAUUGCGAAGGCAGCUUGCUGCAGCGGAACUGACGCUGAUGCUCGAAAGCGCGGGUAUCGAACAGGAUUAGAUACCCCUGUAGUC